GAUGAACGCUGGCGGCAUGCCUAACACAUGCAAGUCGAGCGGACGGACGGGGAUCUGGCUUCUCUGGUGUUGGCGGCGGGCGUGUGAGGAACACGUGUAUACCCUACCGAGGAGACUGAGAUAACUACGGGUGCCCGUAUCUCGUACCCGGUAAUAUUUUGAAAGGCAUGGGUCAGAGGAGGAGGACGGUCCUGAUGAGACUGAUGGAUAGAUCCUCGCUGCAUUAGCUAGUGGGUAAGGUAACGGCUUACCAAGGCGACGAUGCAUAGCUGACCUGAGAGGGUGAUAGGCGACACUGGAACUGAGACACGGUCCAGACUCCUACGGGAGGAAGCAGUAGGGAAUCUUCGGCAAUGGGCGAAAGCCUGACGGCGCAACGCCGCGUGAGUGAUGAAGGUCUUCGGAUCGUAAAGCACUGUUAUUAGGGAAGAACAUAUGUGUAAGUAACUGUGCACAUCUUGACGGUACCUAAUGAGAAAGCAACGGCUAACUCCGUG
Molecule: ribosomal RNA, 497 nt
Filed under: uncultured bacterium
Lineage: Bacteria
Description: partial 16S ribosomal RNA
Rfam family: Bacterial small subunit ribosomal RNA
Source: RNAcentral